ACUCCUACGGGAGGCAGCAGUGGGGAAUAUUGCACAAUGGGGGAAACCCUGAUGCAGCCAUGCCGCGUGUGUGAAGAAGGCCUUCGGGUUGUAAAGCACUUUCAGUAGGGAGGAAGGUAGUGUAGUUAACACCUGCAUUAUUUGACGUUACCUACAGAAGAAGCACCGGCUAACUCCGUGCCAGCAGCCGCGGUAAUACGGAGGGUGCGAGCGUUAAUCGGAAUUACUGGGCGUAAAGCGCAUGCAGGCGGCCUGUUAAGUCAGAUGUGAAAGCCCGGGGCUUAACCUCGGAAUUGCAUUUGAAACUGGCAGGCUAGAGUCUUGUAGAGGGGUUAGAAUUUCAGGUGUAGCGGUGAAAUGCGUAGAGAUCUGAAGGAUACCAGUGGCGAAGGCGGCCCCUGGACAAAGACUGACGCUCAGAUGCGAAAGCGUGGGAGCAAACAGGAUUAGAUACCCCG
Molecule: ribosomal RNA, 458 nt
Filed under: uncultured bacterium
Lineage: Bacteria
Description: bacterial SSU rRNA
Rfam family: Bacterial small subunit ribosomal RNA
Source: RNAcentral